RNAcentral lists this long non-coding RNA (531 nucleotides) under Gossypium barbadense (sea-island cotton). Its description in RNAcentral is "long non-coding RNA (GBAR_LNC014209)". The record is from RNAcentral. Lineage: Eukaryota; Viridiplantae; Streptophyta; Magnoliopsida; Malvales; Malvaceae.
UUCUCCCCAUGGAAUGUGCUCCUGAUAAGAAGUGCCAAGAAAUUAUCAUUAAAAAGGGUUCCAUAGUCUAAGGAUAGGGGAGGGAGUUGCAGAUAUUGGGGUUCGAAUGCCGGUUCUGCUAGAAGUCGCUUUUUAAGGUUAGUUGUGUGAACCAACUGAGCUAAAUACCAGGUUCAUAUUACUGAUGGUUUGUUUAUUCCUCUAUUUGCCAAUGAAGUGGGAGAAAAGAGUGAUUAGUAGUAUUCAUUCUGUUCCACUCCCACCCUAUAGCUUUUAAUCAUGCCUUGUUCAUGUUAAUUCCACAUGUUUGUAUACACUAACAGGUUAAUAAUAGAUAUAGAUUUUGACUAGUUGAUGUAUCCGUGUUAGUGUUUUACCUAAUAGGGUUGUCAUGUCCAACACAUCCAAGCCUCUUGAUCGGAAAUAAGCGAGAGAAGCUUCCCAGGAGAUGGAUGGUGAAGGGAGAUCAACGGAGUCCUUGGUCGAUGUCAUCCCGUCUCUUCUCCCUGUAUAUACGGGAUAAGACGGUGC